AAACCAAUAAAGUUUUCUUUAUUGGGGUUGCGGACAUAUCAUAACGAAGAGGUAUCGUAAUUGAAGAGGUUUGGAAAGACCCACCACAGAAGGUAAUAGUCCUGUAUGUUAAACGAGAAGACUUCAGAUAUGAUCCAGAGUACCACGGGACACGUGAAACCCUGUGGGAAGCAGGAGGGACCCCCCUCCAAGGCUAAAUACUACCUAGUGACCGAUAGCGUAUAGUACCGUGAGGGAAAGGUGAAAAGAACCCCGGGAGGGGAGUGAAAUAGAACCUGA
RNAcentral lists this ribosomal RNA (279 nucleotides) under Clostridioides difficile. RNAcentral's name for it is "partial 23S ribosomal RNA". It matches the Rfam family "Bacterial large subunit ribosomal RNA", at positions 271 to 553 of the family's 2925-position model. Lineage: Bacteria; Bacillati; Bacillota; Clostridia; Peptostreptococcales; Peptostreptococcaceae. The record is from RNAcentral.